RNAcentral lists this ribosomal RNA (490 nucleotides) under uncultured bacterium. RNAcentral describes it as "partial 16S ribosomal RNA". It matches the Rfam family "Bacterial small subunit ribosomal RNA", at positions 30 to 507 of the family's 1533-position model. The record is from RNAcentral.
AUUGAACGCUGGCGGCAGGCCUAACACAUGCAAGUCGAACGGUAACAGGAAGAAGCUUGCUUCUUUGCUGACGAGUGGCGGACGGGUGAGGAAUGUCUGGGAAAAUGCCUGAUGGAGGGGGAUAACUACUGGAAAAGGUAGCUAAUACCGCAUAAUGUCGCAAGACCAAAGAGGGGGACCUUCGGGCCCCUUGCCAUCGGAUUUGCCCAGAUGGGAUUAGCUAGUAGGUGGGGUAACGGCUCACCUAGGCGACGAUCCCUAGCUGGUCUGAGAGGAUGACCAGCCACACUGGAACUGAGACACGGUCCAGACUCCUACGGGAGGCAGCAGUGGGGAAUAUUGCACAAUGGGCGCAAGCCUGAUGCAGCUAUGCCUCGUGUAUGAAGAAGGCCUUCGGGUUGUAAAGUACUUUCAGCGGGGAGGAAGGGAGUAAAGUUAAUACCUUUGCUCAUUGACGUUACCCGCAGAAGAAGCACCGGCUAACUCCGUG